RNAcentral lists this ribosomal RNA (483 nucleotides) under uncultured bacterium. RNAcentral's name for it is "bacterial SSU rRNA". It matches the Rfam family "Bacterial small subunit ribosomal RNA", at positions 30 to 531 of the family's 1533-position model. The record is from RNAcentral.
AUUGAACGCUGGCGGCAUGCCUUACACAUGCAAGUCGAACGGCAGCACGGGAGCAAUCCUGGUGGCGAGUGGCGAACGGGUGAGUAAUGUAUCGGAACGUACCUUUCAGUGGGGGAUAACGUAGCGAAAGUUACGCUAAUACCGCAUAUUCUGUGAGCAGGAAAGCAGGGGAUCGCAAGACCUUGCGCUGAUUGAGCGGCCGAUAUCAGAUUAGCUAGUUGGUGAGGUAAAGGCUCACCAAGGCGACGAUCUGUAGCGGGUCUGAGAGGAUGAUCCGCCACACUGGAACUGAGACACGGUCCAGACUCCUACGGGAGGCAGCAGUGGGGAAUUUUGGACAAUGGGCGCAAGCCUGAUCCAGCCAUGCCGCGUGAGUGAAGAAGGCCCUCGGGUUGUAAAGCUCUUUCGACGGGGACGAUGAUGACGGUACCCGUAGAAGAAGCCCCGGCUAACUUCGUGCCAGCAGCCGCGGUAAUGUAGUCG